GCAGUCUUUGAGGUUCUCCUUGAUGAUGAUGUCGGUGACGGCGUCGAAGACGAACUUGACGUUCUGGGUAUCAGUGGCGCACGUCAUGUGGGAAUAGAUCUCCUUCACGUCGCGCCGCAUGUUGAGCUCGAGGAACUGCACCUUGAUGUAGUUGCCCGCGUCCUCAAAACGUCCUUCUUGUUGAGGAAGAGCACGAUGGACGUGGUGGCGAAGUAGCGGUGGUUGCAGAUGCUGUUGAACAGCACCAUGUCGUAGGCGCUCAGCGCCGCGAUGAAGAUGAUGCAGGUCACGCCCUCGAAACAGUGGAUCCACUUUUUGCGUUCCGAGCGCUGUCCACCCACAUCAAACAUCCUGCGGGAGAAGGUGGGGGGACGAUAAGGGGACCUGAAGCCCCUUGCACACACACCCUGGCAUCCAUCCGCUUGCCUUUCUAUGUCUGGGAGGCUCUCACAUGGACUGACUUUUUGGGGGGAGGGAGUUUCCAAGGUAGGGUUUCACUCUAGCUCAGACCGACCUA
Jaculus jaculus (lesser Egyptian jerboa) is the source of this 517-nucleotide long non-coding RNA. RefSeq lists it as uncharacterized. The record is from RefSeq and is a predicted model, not a curated record. The transcript has 3 exons. NCBI's taxonomy places the organism in Eukaryota, Metazoa, Chordata, Mammalia, Rodentia, Dipodidae.